AGGAGCCGUAGGACGGGAAACUGUCACGUACGGUUCUGAGUUGGCGGCCAGGUGGGAGACCCCUGGUCGACCAUAAC
Molecule: non-coding RNA, 77 nt
Organism: Marchantia polymorpha subsp. polymorpha
Lineage: Eukaryota; Viridiplantae; Streptophyta; Marchantiopsida; Marchantiales; Marchantiaceae
Source: Rfam